This 460-nucleotide ribosomal RNA is filed under the name uncultured bacterium. RNAcentral describes it as "partial 16S ribosomal RNA". It matches the Rfam family "Bacterial small subunit ribosomal RNA", at positions 338 to 795 of the family's 1533-position model. The record is from RNAcentral.
CCUACGGGAGGCAGCAGUGAGGAAUAUUGGUCAAUGGUCGGGAGACUGAACCAGCCAAGCCGCGUGAGGGAUGAAGGUACAGAGUAUCGUAAACCUCUUUUGUCAGGGAACAAAGGCGGGGACGCGUCCCCGGAUGAGUGUACCUGACGAAAAAGCAUCGGCUAACUCCGUGCCAGCAGCCGCGGUAAUACGUAGGGGGCAAGCGUUAUCCGGAUUUACUGGGUGUAAAGGGAGCGUAGACGGCUGCGCAAGUCUGAAGUGAAAGCCCGGGGCUCAACCCCGGGACUGCUUUGGAAACUGUGUAGCUAGAGUGCUGGAGAGGCAAGCGGAAUUCCUAGUGUAGCGGUGAAAUGCGUAGAUAUUAGGAAGAACACCAGUGGCGAAGGCGGCUUGCUGGACAGUAACUGACGUUGAGGCUCGAAAGCGUGGGGAGCAAACAGGAUUAGAUACCCGUGUAGUC